This 88-nucleotide transfer RNA is filed under the name Gimesia maris. Its description in RNAcentral is "tRNA-Phe". The record is from RNAcentral. Lineage: Bacteria; Pseudomonadati; Planctomycetota; Planctomycetia; Planctomycetales; Planctomycetaceae.
UGGUUUGCGGGGUGUGGGUGAAUGAGUCGCAAAAAGAUUCCAUCUUUUGGGAGCAAGAGGUCUCACGUUCGAAUCGUGUCGAACCGAC